CCUACGGGAGGCAGCAGUGGGGAAUAUUGGGCAAUGGGCGAAAGCCUGACCCAGCAACGCCGCGUGAAGGAAGAAGGCCUUCGGGUUGUAAACUUCUUUUGACAGGGAAGAGCAGCAGACGGUACCUGUCGAAUCAGCCACGGCUAACUACGUGCCAGCAGCCGCGGUAAUACGCAGGUGGCAAGCGUUGUCCGGAUUUACUGGGUGUAAAGGGCGUGUAGCCGGGCUGACAAGUCAGCUGUGAAAUCCGGGGGCUCAACCCCCGACCUGCCGUUGAAACUGUUGGUCUUGAGUGUCGGAGAGGCAGGCGGAAUUCCUGGUGUAGCGGUGAAAUGCGUAGAUAUUAGGAGGAACACCAGUGGCGAAGGCAGCCUGCUGGACGACAACUGACGGUGAGGCGCGAAAGCGUGGGGAGCGAACAGGAUUAGAUACCCGGGUAGUC
RNAcentral lists this ribosomal RNA (442 nucleotides) under uncultured bacterium. RNAcentral's name for it is "partial 16S ribosomal RNA". It matches the Rfam family "Bacterial small subunit ribosomal RNA", at positions 338 to 795 of the family's 1533-position model. The record is from RNAcentral.